UGAACUUCAUCUUGUCUUUCUACUAUUUCGUUGCGUAUGGACAUCUACAAAACUGAGGAGGAAGUCAGUAGAGGAGGAACAGAUGAU
This is a long non-coding RNA of Sinocyclocheilus grahami, 87 nucleotides long. RefSeq lists it as uncharacterized. The transcript has 4 exons. NCBI's taxonomy places the organism in Eukaryota, Metazoa, Chordata, Actinopteri, Cypriniformes, Cyprinidae. The record is from RefSeq and is a predicted model, not a curated record.